UGAUCAUGGCUCAGAAUGAACGCUGGCGGCAGGCCUAACACAUGCAAGUUCGAACGCAUCCUUCGGGGUGAGUGGCGGACGGGUGAGUAACACGUGGGAACGUACCCUUUGCUACGGAAUAGUCUCGGGAAACUGGGGGUAAUACCGUAUGUGCCCUACGGGGGAAAGAUUUAUCGGCAAAGGAUCGGCCCGCGUUGGAUUAGGUAGUUGGUGGGGUAAUGCCUACCAAGCCGACGAUCCAUAGCUGGUUUGAGAGGAUGACCAGCCACACUGGGACUGAGACACGGCCCAGACUCCUACGGGAGGCAGCAGUGGGGAAUCUUAGACAAUGGGGGAAACCCUGAUCUAGCCAUGCCGCGUGAGUGAUGAAGGCCUUAGGGUUGUAAAGCUCUUUCGCUGGGGAAGAUAAUGACGGUACCCAGUAAAGAAGCCCCGGCUAACUCCGUGCCAGCAGCCGCGGUAAUACGGAGGGGGCUAGCGUUAUUCGGAAUUACUGGGCGUAAAGCGCACGUAGGCGGACCAGAAAGUUAGGGGUGAAAUCCCGGGGCUCAACCUCGGAACUGCCUCU
Molecule: ribosomal RNA, 568 nt
Filed under: uncultured bacterium
Lineage: Bacteria
Description: bacterial SSU rRNA
Rfam family: Bacterial small subunit ribosomal RNA
Source: RNAcentral